GGAAUGAAACACGGGAUUCCAACAAGAACAAGAAUAGAUGAGGAAAGAACGACAAUUUCUUUAUUGAUCAGAACUGCCUCCUUUCUCAGAUUACAUUUCUAUUUAUAGACAGCCUCUCAACUGUUACAAUUAAGUCUGACUUCCCUAACAACUUCAGUUAUUUCCCCCUAUUGACAACUGCCCAUAACAGAUCACAUCUUACUUAUACAAUAUAUUCUCUUAUACAUUCCUACAGCUCCUAUUCUUAUUAUUAUAAUAACAGGAUCCUGUCACAUCCGUAAGUUUCUUCGUAUGGGGGUGCAUGCACU
Molecule: unclassified non-coding RNA, 308 nt
Filed under: Hevea brasiliensis (rubber tree)
Lineage: Eukaryota; Viridiplantae; Streptophyta; Magnoliopsida; Malpighiales; Euphorbiaceae
Source: RNAcentral